This 3257-nucleotide long non-coding RNA is filed under the name Solanum tuberosum (potato). RNAcentral describes it as "long non-coding RNA (STUB_LNC007519)". Lineage: Eukaryota; Viridiplantae; Streptophyta; Magnoliopsida; Solanales; Solanaceae. The record is from RNAcentral.
UACAAAUGUGAUCAAAUUAUCUCAAAUCAUCAACGUCUUCAAACAUGGAUACUUGCCACAAAUAUAGAAGCUUAAUCUGCAAGGUCAUACAAAGAGUGUCGAUAAGUUAAUUCUGGACUUAGCCGUUAUACAAGCAAAUUGUUGAUAGAGUUACUUUGUUAUUUUUUAUUUCAUCAAAGAUGUGCCAAUUUACGAUAUGAUUUUACAUACCUUAACGGAAAUUAAGAUUAUAGAUUUGUCAAAAGGAGGCAUCCAAACUGCAAUAGAGCUUAGAAUUUCACUACAAAGAGGAACCUCCACAAUCCUUCCUGUCAUCCUCCUUUUUGAAGGAACAAAGAGGAAUUGCUGAAGCAAGAACCACAAAACAUUUACUUGAAUGAUGAUACUUUAGGAAAAAUAAAAAGAUUCUUUAACCAUUAUUCUAAACUACAGUAGAAUUUGGAAGAUGUAACAUUGCGAUCAAAGAACACAAUUUGAAAGUUUAAGAUAAAUUAGUUUUAAAAUCUCACACAUUUAAAGUAGGAAAAGAUUUUACGACAAGAAUAUCUGAAAACUAACAGAUACUUUUACCUGAGCAUAAAUGCAACACAAUGAAAAUUAACGGUAAAAAGAUAUAAAGCAUAUCACUGAUUUAUUAACAUUUCUAUUAAGUAAAAGACUUUUUAAUCAUUAGUUUUGUUAAUAGAAAAAUUGACCAGAUAAUUUCUGAUAAAGGACAAAUAUAAAAUUCAAUAGAACAAAAAGGGAAAAAUAAUGUUAUUGCAAAAAUAUAAUAGUAGCUCAAACCGUUAGCAAAUAAAAAUAUAUGACUCGUUUUGAAGUAAGUAGCAGCAAAGGACCUUACUAACUUUGUGAUACCAUGGUCGUUCCUGUAGGAUCCCCUUUUCCUUCUUCUUUCUAUUAGUUUAGCUUGAAUCAACAAAGCUCCACCCCAUAACACCUAGCCAUGUGUUUCUCGCAUCUAUAUAUCUGCAGUAUCAUCAAGUCACAUAUUUCACAGUAAGCCCAUCAAUAAAUCUAUAAUUGAGACACCAUACUUGAAGUAAGUUAAAUAUAAUGUGGGAAGUUAAAUAUAAUUUGGGAAAUGAUAUAUUAUACUCACUUGGACAUGAACAAAGAGUUUCAUCAAAAGGUACACAAGAACAUAAACCCAGAAAACUCAACUUUUGUGUAUCCACCAUCACAUGAACUUUGAAUUCAUGUGAAGAUCCAUUAUAUAUUUGCUUCACAGAUUUCAUGCGAAGCAUCUUCAAUAAGUAAAUACUUAGAGACCAAAAAAUACAUGUCUCAUUCAUCAAUACAUAUAAAAAAAAUAUAAAUGUCAAACUUCAUUUUUUUUAAAAAGAAAGUCAUUUAAAAAAAAAAAAAAAGGCUCAAAUCCUUAUAGAUAAAGAUGUCUAAACCACUAACCUCUAAGAAAUAUAGAAUCGAAGGCACUAUUUUCAUAGAAAUUCAAAAUUUAACCACGACAUAUAAAGACAAUCAAUCUUUUUAUAAUACCAAAAAUAGAUGAUUUUUGGAUGGUGACUCGGAGACCCUUCAAGUCCUUUGUAGUUUUCCUUGCAAUGUCUUCACUGAUUUUGGAGCGAGAGAACUUGCUGCGUUGACUUCACCUCGAGUGAUCGAAUGAAAAACUCAAUGACUCGAUAGGGAUUGAACUUUGAUGGUGUUCUAGCACAAUUAUGAAACAGAGAAGAGCAGAGCUAUUUUUGUGCAUGUGUAUCACUACUAUAUGCUUUCCGAAAUUGUCAUAUCAUUUUUCAGAUUGCCACUUUCGAAAUCUUUUCUCUAGCUAAAGUAUCAGUGGUAAUCUACCCCUCUUACAGUCCGUCUAAGAAGCAAUAAUAUACUUUCAUUUUUAUUUUGGUUCUAGGUUUGGAGAUUUCUGUUGUGAUAUAUUUGUAUGAUUCAAGAACAUAUUUCUUUCCUAAGACCUUCCUCCACUCCUCGAUAAAAAUCUUCUUAAUGUAUGUGAGUCUAUGAUCUUCUCCUUAGUCCAAAAAGGGUGGACCACUGAUGAAAAACUUAAUGAAGCAAGGAAUGAGGAACAUAGUUGUGAAUACACUAAAUAACCACAAGCUCCCCAAUUUGUUAAAUUGAGAUAAUUAUACACAUACGUACGUACAUACAUACAUACAUACAUGUAAUGAAGGAGUUUCUCAUCCAAGGUCAACCAGCUGUGUAGUGUUUUGAAAAAUAACCUUUUCAACUAAGUCACUAUACCUACCACUGAAUUAUUUGGCAUUUUUAGAAUGUCACGCUUAUGAAAUUCAAUAAAAAAACAUAUUGAGAUAUAAUAUAAAUUAAAAUAUGUAUUAAACCACAUUUUGGCCUUCAUUAUUUCAUAGAAUGAUAUUUGGUAUUCAAUAACUAAUUAAACAAAAAAUAAAAUAUAACAAUGCAUGAACUAUCUUAAGUCACAGGAAUCAACAUUGUUAACUCUUCCAUCUGGAUUGAUCAUAAAACAGAGAAAAGAAGAUGUAAACUCAGCACUAAUGAAUAAAUUUACUUAAUUUUAGUCGAGUAGUUAUCAUCCAAAUCUGAAAUACCAAAAUGUUGAACAUGGAAGAAUGUUUUCUCAUCAGAUUUCGUCAACUAUAACAAAUUACUAACUCCACUUCUGUUUAAGAGCAUAGCCAUUUUUAUAUCUAAAUUAAAUGUGAUAAUUGUCGUACAUUGACGGCAAGCGAUAAAAUAGUAACAUAACGAUGAAUUUUUAGUGAGGAUUUCAUUGAUGCUCUCUUAGGUACGUGCUACAUUUGCACCUCGCUGGAUAUUCAAUAGGUAACAGUUUCUAUCACAAAGAAAUUCGGUUAUAGGAACCUUAACAAAGUUCAAUGGCACAGGAGAUUCUUAAAGACCACUUCCAAAAUAAUAAAAAACAGAUAUUAUUUUAUACUAUAAAAAAUUCUAAUUUCAAAGAAAAAUUGGAAAGAAGAAAAAUGCAUACCAUGAAAGAGUAACAAUUCAUAACUUCACUAAUAUUUUAAUAUCAAUGUACCCAUUAGUCUCCCCAAUGUAUUUUCUUCUAAGUCUAAAUGAAAUAAGAAAAAGGACUAAUAAUUUCAGAGGACAAAGUGAGUCAAUUUCGAUUAUUAUUUUUAAAACGCCGAAAAUCACUGUACUAUAGACUAUUCUUGCAAUCUUACAAUUUUUCAAUUUGAAGAAAAAGUAAAAUAACAUACCAAACACCAAAAUAAAAUAAAAUUACAGUAGCAGUGAACAAUACUCAAGAUCUCAUACCUUGCAUCUUUACU